ACGAAAUUCCAUAUUGCAUUUAGUCAUCAGGCCUGCGUAAUUAACUUUGGUUUCUGACAAUUUAUUGAUCUUUUCUUGUUUUUAUGACCUUGACCUGAAGACCUCAGUUAUUUUGUGAAAGGCACUCACAUGCCGCAAAGAUAGAGUGUGGUGAUUGACAAGGCCUUGGACACAAGACAAGCCCUGGAGCUACAAUGAUUCGGGUCUUAACCCUCCUCCCAGCAUCACAAGGACUGAGAAAGAAUGACCAGAGCCUCUUGCCAGUCUCACAGCUCAGAAAUGUGUCCCCGAGGACCAAGAGCCAUCUCUAUGAAAUGUACUUCUCAAGGAAGAUGGUGCCCUGCCUCGCAGUUUCCUAGGAGAAGACAAACUUAACUUCAACUAUCAUCUGAGUUCACGUUGCAAAACCUGCCGAAUGUCACCGGUGCAUCCGCUCAGCUGUAAGGGCGCAAGAUUUCCCUGCUGUCUGCCAUCUCUUUAGCAGAUGGCCAGAGAUGCAUGUCGCAUUCUGGUUUAAUGCUUAUUCAAUAAAAAAAUUAUUUUCUUUC
Molecule: long non-coding RNA, 548 nt
Organism: Leopardus geoffroyi (Geoffroy's cat)
Lineage: Eukaryota; Metazoa; Chordata; Mammalia; Carnivora; Felidae
Exons: 3
Source: RefSeq, a predicted model, not a curated record